ACGGGAGGCAGCAGUGGGGGAUAUUGCACAAUGGGCGAAAGCCUGAUGCAGCAACGCCGCGUGAGGGAAGACGGUUUUCGGAUUGUAAACCUCUGUCUUUGGUGACGAAGGAAUGACGGUAGCCAAGGAGGAAGCCACGGCUAACUACGUGCCAGCAGCCGCGGUAAUACGUAGGUGGCAAGCGUUGUCCGGAAUUACUGGGUGUAAAGGGAGCGCAGGCGGGAAGGCAAGUCAGCGGUGAAAUACAUGGGCUUAACCCAUGAACUGCCGUUGAAACUGUUUUUCUUGAGUGGAGUAGAGGCAGGCGGAAUUCCGAGUGUAGCGGUGAAAUGCGUAGAUAUUCGGAGGAACACCAGUGGCGAAGGCGGCCUGCUGGGCUCUAACUGACGCUGAGGCUCGAAAGUGUGGGGAGCAAACAGGAUUAGAUACCCUGGUA
This 436-nucleotide ribosomal RNA is filed under the name uncultured Oscillospiraceae bacterium. RNAcentral describes it as "bacterial SSU rRNA". It matches the Rfam family "Bacterial small subunit ribosomal RNA", at positions 341 to 792 of the family's 1533-position model. Lineage: Bacteria; Bacillati; Bacillota; Clostridia; Eubacteriales; Oscillospiraceae. The record is from RNAcentral.